GUCGAACGCUGGCGGCGUGCUUAACACAUGCAAGUCGAACGGAAAGGCCCUGCUUUUGUGGGGUGCUCGAGUGGCGAACGGGUGAGUAACACGUGAGUAACCUGCCCUUGACUUUGGGAUAACUUCAGGAAACUGGGGCUAAUACCGGAUAGGAGCUCCUGCUGCAUGGUGGGGGUUGGAAAGUUUCGGCGGUUGGGGAUGGACUCGCGGCUUAUCAGCUUGUUGGUGGGGUAGUGGCUUACCAAGGCUUUGACGGGUAGCCGGCCUGGGAGGGUGACCGGCCACAUUGGGACUGAGAUACGGCCCAGACUCCUACGGGAGGCAGCAGUGGGGAAUAUUGCACAAUGGGCGGAAGCCUGAUGCAGAAACGCCGCGUGCGGGAUGACGGCCUUCGGGUUGUAAACCGCUGUCGCCUGUGACGAAGCGUGAGUGACGGUAAUGGGUAAAGAAGCACCGGCUAACUACGUG
This 468-nucleotide ribosomal RNA is filed under the name uncultured bacterium. Its description in RNAcentral is "partial 16S ribosomal RNA". It matches the Rfam family "Bacterial small subunit ribosomal RNA", at positions 28 to 507 of the family's 1533-position model. The record is from RNAcentral.